AUGGUGAACCGCAACUUCAUCACCAUGCAGCAGAAUUUUGACAAAAUUCAAGAGAACUUCAGACGCCUGCUACUAGACCCUGAACAUGAAGAAACUGAUGAUCAAUCUGCUCAAGGCAGUGUGCAGGUCAAGGACACAGUGAACAAGUCUCCUGUAGCACCACUUGGUAGACCUAAGCAGCUACAGGUACCCACACCACCUUCAGUUACCAUGCCAGAGAAACAACACCCCCCUGCAGUGGGUACAGCUACACUAAGGGACCAACAUGGCAAGGAGCUCAAUUUGGACGGCACGGCCAAAGUUCCUUAUAGGCACCCUAAUUUUGGCCAUCCAAGAGCAGAUCAGGCUACAGCUGGAGGUCACGCAGCUGCAGGAGCUCAGGGAACACAACAAGCACCUGUUCAAUUAGAAGAACUGGAGGCAGAACAUGAGUUAGAGGCCAACUUCCAAAGAUCAAGACCUGCUACACCUAUUGAUUGCAGAAGGAAUGUACUGACAGUCAAGCCCGCAAAACUGAACUUAUCUGAAUUUGAAGGUGAUGACCCUGACUCUUGGAUCCAGAACUUAGAGCAAUACUUUUCUGCUGCAAGAACACCAGUAGAACACAGGAGUGAACUAGCUGUAUCAUAUCUCAAGGGGCCUGCAGCCCAAGUGUUAGGCAUUCUGCAAGACAACCAACUAUAUGCCAAGAUGGACAAAUGCUUUUUCGGCCAAUCUGAAGUAGAAUACUUAGGCCAUGUCAUUAACAAGGAUGGAGUGGCCACGGAUCCUGCAAAAAUACUUGCAAUUCAGGAAUGGCCAGCACCCACAAAUGUCACUGAACUCAGGAGUUUUCUGGGAUUAAGUGGAUAUUAUAGGAGAUUCAUACAAGGAUAUGGUGUUAUAUGCAGACCCCUCUUUGACUGCUUGAAGAAAGAUGCAUUUUCUUGGACAGAUCAACAGCAACAAGCCUUCUUAACACUUAAGGAGAAACUGACAAAUGCACCUGUUCUAGCACUACCCAACUUCACCAAACCUUUCAUAUUGGAGGCUGAUGCUUGUGGAUAUGGACUCGGGGCUGUAUUAAUGCAAGGCAAAGCUAUUUCCUAUUUCAGCAAAAGCAUUGGACCUAAAGCAGCAGUCCUUAUCUACAUAUGA
RNAcentral lists this ribosomal RNA (1137 nucleotides) under Triticum aestivum (bread wheat). Its description in RNAcentral is "partial small subunit ribosomal RNA". Lineage: Eukaryota; Viridiplantae; Streptophyta; Magnoliopsida; Poales; Poaceae. The record is from RNAcentral.